GCCUGGAUAGCUCAGUUGGUUAGAGCAUGGGGCUGAUAAUGCCAAGGUUGUAAGUUCGAUCCCCUUCCACCCUUUCUAAGGC
This is a non-coding RNA of Podarcis lilfordi (Lilford's wall lizard), 82 nucleotides long. Lineage: Eukaryota; Metazoa; Chordata; Lepidosauria; Squamata; Lacertidae. The record is from the annotation of a GenBank genome assembly.